ACUACUGUAUAUGUUAAUUAAUCUAACUAAUACCCUGUAAACAAAAUCCCUCAAAAUAACAAUUUUUAUUGUGCCCAUUCUUAACAUUUGCCCUCCCCCCCAAAAAAAAACCAACUGAUUUUAGCAGUAACUAACCACAAAACGUUACCAGAAUUGAGCACAGUAUAAAUCACUUCAUCGUCAGUACUGUACUUGAUAAUAGAGUAGAACUUCGAUUUAACGCGAAUCGAUUUAAGAUUAUCGAUUUAAAGCGACACCCACAAUUAAGGACAAUGUUUUAAUUUAAAGCGAAUCUUUCCUAUUUUGCGAGAGUCAAUCUGGUGCAUCAUAUUUUAAAUUUCGUGCCUAAUGUUUCCCACCAGACGCGUCUCUGGACACGCUACACGGCUGCCCGCCACCAUCCCACACCCUCGCGCAUCCUCAGUUCUCGCGCUGACGCUCCAGUGAACGGACUUAUUGUGUGACCCUCUCUCUUCUACCACAUGCAUCAACCAUCACCAUUAUUUCCAAGAGGCCAGCUACUACAGUACAUCAUUAACUACCCCACAGGUCAAGAAAUCAAGGCAAGCAAUUACACUGGAGCAGAAAAUCAAGGUGCUGGAAGCACUGCAGCGUGGAAAUGGUGGUUCAAGUGUGGGACGUCAAUUUAGACUGUCGGAGAACACUGUCCGCACUAUAAAGUUCAAUGAGGAGAAAAUUAGAGCAGCCUAUGCUUCACCUGAUGUUGCCAAGGGUAAACUCCACCUGAAGAUUGCUAUGUAUAUUGAGAUGGAAGAAGCACUGAACUUAUGGGUAGAAGACAUGCUGCGCCGAAAACUUCCUCUCACUGGCCCCUUGCUGCAAAACCAAGCCUACGAAAUACAGUCUCGGAUACUUGAAAAGGAAGAGAAGUCCAUCAAAGACAAUAUGUUCACAGCAAGUACAGGCUGGCUGUACAAAUAUAUCAAAAGGACGGGGCUACGGAAUGUGACGCUUUCAGGUGAAGCUGCAUCUGCCGACGCGGAGGCAGCCGAGGAUAUGAAGAAAGUUAUGAAGGAUAUAGUGUUAGAAAAUGGUUAUUCUCCUUGCCAAGUGUGGAAUUGUGAUGAAACUGGACUGUAUUGGAAAAAAAUGCUCAAGAAAACCUAUCUAAUGAAGAAUGACGAAAAAGCACCAGGGUUUAAGGUCAGCAAGGACAGACACUGACGAUUCUCAUGGCGAACCCAUCAGGCACCGCACGAAUGAAGCCACUCGUCAUCCACCACUCAGCUAGACCUUGUGCCCUGAAAAAUGUGCAUAUCCCGAAACUUCCUGUAAUUUGGCAAUCAAACAAGAAGGGGUGGAUGACUUCUGAUAUUUUCGAUGAGUGGUACAUCAGCCAUGCCACCCCAUUCAUCGAAAAUGUUAAAAAAAAUUGAACAUUAGCAAAAAGGCCUUGGUUCUCAUGGACAACGCAUCUAGCCCUCCAAACACCUGUGCAGUGUGAAUAAUGACGUAAACUUGACCUUCUUCCCUCCGAACGUGACUUCACUUAUUCAGCCACUAGAUCAAGGUGUUAUUGCCUUGUUCAAGAGAUAUUAUCUCAAGAAUACCAUGAGGCAAAUGGCUGAAGCUAUGAACAAGGACAACAAUAUGACAGCAGCAACGUUUUGGAAGAGUUACACCAUCAAAGAUGCCAUAGCUAACAUUGCAACUUGCAUGGAAAAGUGUGCCAGAAAGUGCACUAAAUGGAGUGUGGUGUAAUCUGUGGCCUGAGGUAGUCCAUGAUUUCAAGGGCUUUGAUGAAGGCUAGGACGUGAAAGACAUUAUGAAGCUCAUUAAGGAAGUGAGAGGUGAUUCAGGAUUUCAAGAAAUCCAAGAAGAUGUGACUGAACUGCUUGUUUGCAUGGAGGAUCCUCUCACUUCUGAAGAAGUCUUGGAGAUGGUGGAGAUGGCGAAAAAACACGAGGAAGCUACAGUUAAGCCCCAAACAGUGGGGAAGGAACUGACAAUUCCUAAGCUGAGGGAGUUUAUGCAGCACGUCACUUCUGCCACCCAGUCUGCACUGCAACAUGACCCUGAUAUGGAACGCAGUAUGCAAGUGGUGGAGGCGUUGAAUUGGGCUGCAUCUACGUACUUUCUGCUGCUAGAUCAACUGAUUAUGGCCCAGCAACAGAAGAAAAUCACCUCAAUCUUCUGUCCAUUAUCAACAGCUCCUGAGGUAGCUGGCCAAGGCCGUCAUCCAGUGCUUUCUGCGUGUCAGAUGUGUCAACAGCCACACCACUAGACAGUGAUGUGGAUGAUGAGCUGGUCGAGUUGAGCUCUGCAUCUUCAGAGGAUGAAUUGCCUUACUAAAGGAGAUGGGCUGAGGUGCAUCUGGGUGUAUACUCUCAGUCGGGGAGGGCCAGUGGCCCAAGGCAGCAGACAGUACUACGCAGUAUCAGUACCGUCCAACUCUGAACUCUUCUGCAGGAAGUGCUUGCCUCAUAUAUAUCAUUACACCAUAUAUUUUUCUCAUAUUUACUAGUUAAUAAAAGUCUUUGUUAAUAUUUUGUGUUUCUCUCAAGUACCUAACUAAAUUUUUCCAUUGAAACAACACUUUGAUUUAGCGUUCUCUUGGAACGUAUCUCAUGUUAAAUCGAAGUUCUACUGUACUUACAGUAUUGGAUAAUUGAGCGGUGGUCUUUUUAAAUCACUGAAAUGAUGUUGACAUGUAAACAAUGGUGUAGGCAGAAUGAGGAAGAGGGAAAAGGUACAGUAUUUUUAUGCAUCAAAUGGGUAUCAAUUUCUAAGAUGUUGUUUUUGUAAAAAGAAAAAGAAAAAGGGAAGUUUUCAAUGAAUUAAAAAGAUUUUGUUAUUAUUUUAGUUUCGGUCAUCCGGAGAAUCUAGGAAUUUAACUACAGUAUAGUCUCGAUU
RNAcentral lists this unclassified non-coding RNA (2874 nucleotides) under Homarus americanus (American lobster). RNAcentral describes it as "protein C10-like, transcript variant X3". The record is from RNAcentral. Lineage: Eukaryota; Metazoa; Arthropoda; Malacostraca; Decapoda; Nephropidae.